CCCUUAGAUGUUCUGGGCUGCACGCGCGCUACACUGGUGCGUUCAGCGAGUUUAGCACCUUAACAGAUAUGUUUGGGUAAUCUUCUGAAAACGCACCGUGAUGGGGAUCGAUUAUUGUAAUUAUUAAUCGUCAACGAGGAAUUCCUAGUAAGUGUAGGUUUAUAAGUUGUUCUGAUUACGUCCCUGCCCUUUGUACACACCGCCCGUCGCUCCUACCGAUUGAUUGAUCCGGUGAAUUACAUAGAAUUUUGCGUUUUACAUGACGGAAGAUGAAGUGUUUUAAACCUUAUCAUUUAGAGGAAGGAGAAGUCGUAACA
Molecule: ribosomal RNA, 317 nt
Filed under: uncultured eukaryote
Lineage: Eukaryota
Description: partial 18S ribosomal RNA
Rfam family: Eukaryotic small subunit ribosomal RNA
Source: RNAcentral